AGCUCCAAUAGCGUAUAUUAAAGUGGCUGCAGUUAAAAAGCUCGUAGUUGGAUCUCAGGGUACCUGGUCUAGCCGGUAUAGCUCACGCUAAAACUGGUCUGACCCCCUAACGUGAGGUAUUCGUCUCCGGGUGCACUUCAUUGGGUGCUCGUGAGGGGCCUCGUAGUUACUGUGAAACAUUAGAGUGUUCAAAGCAGGCUCAUAUGUUCCACUAGCCGUGCAUGGAAUAACUGAAUACGUGACUGGCGCUUUUCAGUUGGUCUCGGCGACUGGUCAAAUGAUUAAGAGGGACUGCCGGGGGCAUUGGUAUGGCGGAGGUGAAAUUCUUGGAUCCUCGCCAGACCAACAAAAGCGAAAGCAUUUGCCAAGAAUGUCCUCA
This 379-nucleotide ribosomal RNA is filed under the name marine Metazoa environmental sample. Its description in RNAcentral is "SSU rRNA". It matches the Rfam family "Eukaryotic small subunit ribosomal RNA", at positions 587 to 972 of the family's 1831-position model. Lineage: Eukaryota; Metazoa. The record is from RNAcentral.